GUAGGGAAUAUUGCUCAAUGGGGGAAACCCUGAAGCAGCAACGCCGCGUGGAGGAUGAAGGUUUUCGGAUUGUAAACUCCUUUUGUUAGAGAAGAUAAUGACGGUAUCUAACGAAUAAGCACCGGCUAACUCCGUGCCAGCAGCCGCGGUAAUACGGAGGGUGCAAGCGUUACUCGGAAUCACUGGGCGUAAAGAGCGCGUAGGCGGGGUAGCAAGUCAGAUGUGAAAUCCUAUGGCUUAACUAUAGAACUGCAUUUGAAACUGUUACUCUAGAGUAUGGGAGAGGUAGGUGGAAUUCUUGGUGUAGGGGUAAAAUCCGUAGAGAUCAAGAGGAAUACUCAUUGCGAAGGCGACCUGCUGGAACAUUACUGACGCUGAUGCGCGAAAGCGUGGGGAGCAAACAGGAUUAGAAACCCUAGUAGUCC
This 425-nucleotide ribosomal RNA is filed under the name uncultured bacterium. RNAcentral's name for it is "bacterial SSU rRNA". It matches the Rfam family "Bacterial small subunit ribosomal RNA", at positions 354 to 796 of the family's 1533-position model. The record is from RNAcentral.